GGCGGGCUACCAUGCAGUCGACGAUGAAGCCCAAGCUUGCUUUGGUGGAUUAGUGGCGAACGGGUGAGUAACACGUGAGUAACCUGCCCCUGACUCUGGGAUAACCCUGGGAAACUGGGUCUAAUACCGGAUAUGACUGCGGAACGCGUGUUCUGUGGUGGAAAGAUUUAUCGGUUGGGGAUGGACUCGCGGCCUAUCAUCUUGUUGGUGAGGUAAUGGCUCACCAGGGCGACCACGGGUACCCGGCCUGAGAGGGUGACCGGCCACACUGGGACUGACACACGGCCCACACUCCUACGGGAGGCAGCAGUGGGGAAUAUUGCACAGUGGGCGAAAGCCUGAUGCAGCGACCCCGCGUGAGGGAUGACGGCCUUCGGGUUGUAAACCUCUUUCAGUAGGGAAGAAGCGAGAGUGACGGUACCUGCAAAAAAAGCGCCGGCUAACUACGUGCCAGCACCCGCGGUAAUACGUAGGGCGCACGCGUUAUCCAGAUUUAUUGGGCGUAAAGAGCUCGUACGCGGUUUGUCGCGUCUGCCGUGAAAGUCCGAGGCUCAACCUCAGAUCUGCGGUGGGUACGGGCACACUAGAGUGAUGUAGGGGAGACUGGAAUUCCUGGUGUAGCGGUGAAAUGCGCAUAUAUCGAGAAGAACACCGAUGGCGAGCGCGUGUCUCUGGGCAUUUACUGACUCUGAAGAGCGAAAGCAUGGAGAGCGAACAAGAUUAUAUACUCUGGUACUCCAUGCCCGUACAUGUUGCGCACUAUGUGUGGGGAGACACUACACGUUCUGCGCGCGUAUCUCACGCAUUAUGUGCCCCCGCCCUGGGGAGUGCUACGGCCGACAGAGCGUCUAAAACAUCUCAG
RNAcentral lists this ribosomal RNA (862 nucleotides) under Glutamicibacter nicotianae. RNAcentral describes it as "bacterial SSU rRNA". It matches the Rfam family "Bacterial small subunit ribosomal RNA", at positions 43 to 873 of the family's 1533-position model. Lineage: Bacteria; Bacillati; Actinomycetota; Actinomycetes; Micrococcales; Micrococcaceae. The record is from RNAcentral.